GCUGCGGAGGACUAGCCAUUGCGGCUGCUCCCGCCUUAAACUUGCUGCACGACCGCAAGCUUUUUGCUAGGUUAAUGAAGUGGUAUUUACAUAUAUUUCAGCAACCGUUCAAAGCUUGGUGGCGUUAAAUUUUAUGUUGCCUGUUAUGGGUGACUUUGAUUUUUGACCUCGAAUCAGACAAGGAUACCCGCUGAACUUAA
RNAcentral lists this unclassified non-coding RNA (200 nucleotides) under soil metagenome. Its description in RNAcentral is "partial contains internal transcribed spacer 2 and large subunit ribosomal RNA". The record is from RNAcentral.